AUCCAACUGACGUGUCCCGAAUAGGACGAAACGCAUGUCCUUUAU
Molecule: non-coding RNA, 45 nt
Filed under: Schistosoma haematobium
Lineage: Eukaryota; Metazoa; Platyhelminthes; Trematoda; Strigeidida; Schistosomatidae
Source: RNAcentral